This 465-nucleotide ribosomal RNA is filed under the name uncultured bacterium. Its description in RNAcentral is "partial 16S ribosomal RNA". It matches the Rfam family "Bacterial small subunit ribosomal RNA", at positions 339 to 795 of the family's 1533-position model. The record is from RNAcentral.
CUACGGGAGGCAGCAGUGGGGAAUAUUGGACAAUGGGGGAAACCCUGAUCCAGCAAUGCCGCGUGUGUGAAGAAGGCCUGCGGGUCGUAAAGCACUUUCGGUUGGGAGGACUGCUUCUAGCACUAAUAUUGUUGGAAGUUGACGUUACCUUCAGAAGAAGCACCGGCUAACUCCGUGCCAGCAGCCGCGGUAAUACGGAGGGUGCAAGCGUUAAUCGGAAUUACUGGGCGUAAAGCGCGCGUAGGCGGCUAGAUCAGUCGGGUGUGAAAGCCCCGGGCUUAACCUGGGAACUGCAUCCGAUACUGUCUAGCUUGAGUACAGGAGAGGAGAGUGGAAUUCCACAUGUAGCGGUGAAAUGCGUAGAUAUGUGGAGGAACACCAAUGGCGAAGGCAGCUCUCUGGCCUGAUACUGACGCUGAGGUGCGGAAGCGUGGGGAGCAAACAGGAUUAGAUAACCGAGUAGUC